This 610-nucleotide ribosomal RNA is filed under the name Papiliotrema laurentii. Its description in RNAcentral is "eukaryotic LSU rRNA". It matches the Rfam family "Eukaryotic large subunit ribosomal RNA", at positions 51 to 650 of the family's 3401-position model. The record is from RNAcentral. Lineage: Eukaryota; Fungi; Basidiomycota; Tremellomycetes; Tremellales; Rhynchogastremaceae.
CGGAGGAAAAGAAACUAACAAGGAUUCCCCUAGUAACGGCGAGUGAACCGGGAAAAGCUCAAAUUUGAAAUCUGGCGUCCUCAGGGCGUCCGAGUUGUAAUCUAUAGAGGCGUUUUCCGUGCCGGACCGUGUCCAAGUCCCUUGGAACAGGGUAUCAAAGAGGGUGACAAUCCCGUACUUGACACGACUACCGGUGCUCUGUGAUACGUCUUCUACGAGUCGAGUUGUUUGGGAAUGCAGCUCAAAAUGGGUGGUGAGUUCCAUCUAAAGCUAAAUAUUGGCGAGAGACCGAUAGCGAACAAGUACCGUGAGGGAAAGAUGAAAAGCACUUUGGAAAGAGAGUUAAACAGUACGUGAAAUUGUUGAAAGGGAAACGAUUGAAGUCAGUCGUGACCGAGAGGCUCAGCCGGCUCUGCCGGUGUAUUCCCCUCGGUCGGGUCAACAUCAGUUUUGUCCGGUGGAUAAGGGCGGUAGGAAGGUGGCACCCACGGGUGUGUUAUAGCCUGCCGUCGCAUACACUGGGUGAGACUGAGGAAUGCAGCUCGCCUUUAUGGCCGGGGUUCGCCCACGUCCGAGCUUAGGAUGUUGACAUAAUGGCUUUAAACGACCC